GAUGAACGCUGGCGGCGUGCUUAACACAUGCAAGUCGAGCGAAGCACUUUACUUGGAUUUCUUCGGAAUGACGAGUAUUGUGACUGAGCGGCUGACGGGUGAGUAACGCGUGGGUAACCUGCCUCAUACAGGGGGAUAACAGUUAGAAAUGACUGCUAAUACCGCAUAAGACCACAGCACCGCAUGGUGCAGAGGUAAAAACUCCGGUGGUAUGAGAUGGACCCGCGUCUGAUUAGCUAGUUGGUGGGGUAACGGCCUACCAAGGCGACGAUCAGUAGCCGGCCUGAGAGGGCGACCGGCCACAUUGGGACUGAGACACGGCCCAAACUCCUACGGGAGGCAGCAGUAGGGAAUUUUCCACAAUGGGCGAAAGCCUGAUGGAGCAAUGCCGCGUGCGGGAUGAAGGUCUUAGGACUGUAAACCGCUUUUAUAUGUGAAGAUUAUGACGGUAGCAUAUGAAUAAGGAUCGGCUAACUACGUGCCAGCCGCCGCCGUAA
RNAcentral lists this ribosomal RNA (497 nucleotides) under uncultured bacterium. RNAcentral describes it as "partial 16S ribosomal RNA". It matches the Rfam family "Bacterial small subunit ribosomal RNA", at positions 28 to 523 of the family's 1533-position model. The record is from RNAcentral.